ACGAGCACGCGGCGCCGGGUCCCGGGCGGUGCUGCUCCGCGGUGGUGCAACACGUGGCGGCGCCCGCGUCGGCGGUGUGGUCCGUGGUGCGGCGGUUCGACCAGCCGCAGGCGUACAAGCGGUUCGUGCGCAGCUGCGCGCUGCUGGCGGGGGACGGCGGCGUGGGCACGCUCCGCGAGGUGCGCGUGGUGUCUGGCCUCCCCGCGGCGUCCAGCCGCGAGCGCCUGGAGGUCCUGGACGACGAGAGCCACGUGCUGAGCUUCCGCGUCGUCGGCGGCGAGCACCGGCUCCAGAACUACCUCUCCGUCACAACGGUCCACCCGUCCCCGGCCGCGCCCGACGCCGCCACCGUCGUCGUGGAGUCGUACGUGGUGGACGUGCCGCCGGGCAACACCCCGGAGGACACCCGCGUGUUCGUCGACACCAUCGUCAAGUG
Molecule: long non-coding RNA, 436 nt
Filed under: Sorghum bicolor (sorghum)
Lineage: Eukaryota; Viridiplantae; Streptophyta; Magnoliopsida; Poales; Poaceae
Description: long non-coding RNA (SBIC_LNC001643)
Source: RNAcentral